Molecule: ribosomal RNA, 440 nt
Filed under: uncultured bacterium
Lineage: Bacteria
Description: bacterial SSU rRNA
Rfam family: Bacterial small subunit ribosomal RNA
Source: RNAcentral
AACGCGAAGAACCUUACCAGGGCUUGACAUGCUACUGCAAGCCGCCGAAAAGCGGUCGCCUUCGAGGGUGUAGCACAGGUGGUGCAUGGCUGUCGUCAGCUCGUGUUGUGAAAUGUUGGGUUAAGUCCCGCAACGAGCGCAACCCUCAUGAUCUGUUGCCAGCGAGUAAUGUCGGGAACUCUGAUCAAACUGCCUCUGUAAAGAGGAGGAAGGUGGGGAUGACGUCAAGUCAUCAUGCCCCUUACGCCCUGGGCUGCACAUAUGCUACAAUGGCCGGUACAAUGGGCUGCUAAAGCGCGAGCUCAUGCAAAUCCCAAAAAGCCGGUCUCAGUUCGGAUUGGAGUCUGCAACUCGACUCCAUGAAGUCGGAAUCGCUAGUAACCGCAGGUCAGCAAUACUGCGGUGAAUACGUUCCCGGGCCUUGUACACACCGACUGUAC